RNAcentral lists this long non-coding RNA (1827 nucleotides) under Polistes fuscatus (common paper wasp). Its description in RNAcentral is "uncharacterized LOC122525899, transcript variant X2". Lineage: Eukaryota; Metazoa; Arthropoda; Insecta; Hymenoptera; Vespidae. The record is from RNAcentral.
UUAAACAAUAACAUGCUGAAUAAAUACGUUUAUUCCGCGUAACCGUUUGAAUGAAUCAUUGUUUUUAUCAACGGUAUCAAUUUGUAAACAGAGAUUAGAAUUGUUUUAUAAAUAAAGAAGCCAUAUCUAUUUCUUUGUCGACGCAAUAUAAACUGAAAUUUUCGUUUGAUAUAAUCGAUCUGAUAUUUGACAUCUCACGUAUCGAGUUAACUUCUUUACGGUUGUUGCAUUUCCUUAAUCGAGCCAACCGGAUACUUUGAGGCUAUCGGACAGGUGAAUGAACCGGUAAAAGAACAUCGUCUCGGACCGACGGUAACUUGGCAUGCGAUCGAGAGUCGCUUUUUUGAACAAUUACGUAGAAACGUGCUGAACUAACUUCUCGUAGCGGCUAUUUUCUUCUUUUUCUUAACUCUAUAAGCCAAUAAGGACAUCACCAGAGUCGGGACACCUUUAACGCAAGUGUGACAGUUACAGGACAGUAAUCGUUCGAAAAAAAGCCCAUUCAUAAGUUAACAAAAAGUAAUUUGAAAAUGUUUAACGACCUAACCACCAGUUCGACCAGUUACCGCGGUUCAACUUUGCUGUUUUUCUUAACCAGUAGAUGCGACUUUAGAUAAGAGUUUUGACAAGUGCGCCUGCGACCGUCUAUGGGGUGCCGACUGAACGACGAGCCAUGCCUUCGGGAACUCAGGGAGAGGCACGUACGAGCGAGUGGGUGCGGGGAAAGUUGUUUCUUUAUUAAGAAUAACAAUUUCACAAUGGAAGCUUUGAUAUUGAGUCAACGAUUAAUGAAAAAUAACAGCGUCGGCGUACCCUUUAACGUGCUUUGGUAGAUCUAAAAAAAAGAAAAAAGAAAAAAAUAAGGAAAAAAAGAAAAACACUCUCGGCGAGAAAAAUGAAGGACUUUGUGGCGUAGUCCAAGUUAGAUUAUAUGGACCGACGGAGCAAUCUUAUGGAAUGGAGCUACUGAAAUCUUAAUUCGAGUCGGCGCGCUGUGCCAUUGGAUACGUCGACUGGGGGUGGCGCCUUUCAAAAGCGACGCUUACAAGCACGUUACACACACGGUUAGAUAGGAGAAUGGUGGUAGUCCUUGUUAGACCAAACAGUUACCCAGAGAUUUGGAUAGACCCAAGUAUCAUUCUUGCUCGAGUUUCCUUACAAUCCUUGGGAUUGUUUGAAUAAGAUGCCAAUUGAACUUGUCGAAGACAUCGCUGGACCAAGGUCAAACGGACACUCCGUAUGUUUCACAUUGUUAUGCGAAUUUGAAGAAUCAUAAAAAUCAGGAUGACAGAGAAAAGGAGUGAGAGUUUGAAGGUCGUUUGAAUGAGCAUCCCUUGGAGUGUUAGGUGGUCCAAUUUGAGGAGAUGCUUCACGGCGAGAAAAAAAAGAGGAUGAAAAAGUAAGAGAAGUGCCGUACGUGUGGGCCCAACGGUAAAGGGGGGAAAAAGGCAAGAGGAGGAACGUCAAAUUGAUCCAUAUUAAUAAGAACGGAGAUUCGCGUUGCCGGACUUUUGCAUAAAUUUGAAUCGGCCCUCAUACAGCUCGCGGCAAGGGUUGCGAAUUUGAAUAAUCGAGAAUAAUUUCGAAGUUUUCUCGUGCAAACGCGAGGUAGCGUGCGCGGGUCCGCGACUACGGGGACGUGAUCAGCCGACGUUUCGAAAUAUUUCCUAGUGUAACGCUUUUCUCUCUUAUUUUACCUCACUUCCCCGUACUAGAGUACCAUCCAUCCAACCACCACAGUGCCAUCUCGUUCCGUCCGGUAGAUGUAGGUAAUUAACCGCAUGCACCAGCCGGAAUUGGAAAAAUACAGAACGCUUUAGAAAUCAG